GACGAACGCUGGCGGCGUGCCUAAUACAUGCAAGUCGAACGCAGUGGGGACGGGUGAGUAACACGUGGGUAACCUCCCAUCAGAGGGGAUAACACUUGGAAACCGGUGCUAAACCGACACUGAUGGAUGGACCAGCGGGGCAUUAGCUAGUUGGUGAGGUAACGGCUCACCAAGGACACGAUGCAUAGCGGAACGGAGAGGGUGAGCGGCCACACUGGAACUGAGAAACGGCCCAGACUCCUACGGGGGGCAGCAGUAGGGAAUCUUCGGCAAUGGACGCAAGUCUGACAGAGCAAUGCCGCUUGAGUGAAGAAGGUUUUCGGAUCGUAAAACUCUGUUGUUAGAGAAGCGGUAUCUAACCAGAAAGCCACGGCUAACUACGUGCCAGCAGCCGCGGUAAUAC
Molecule: ribosomal RNA, 403 nt
Filed under: uncultured bacterium
Lineage: Bacteria
Description: partial 16S ribosomal RNA
Rfam family: Bacterial small subunit ribosomal RNA
Source: RNAcentral